AACGAACGCUGGCGGCAUGCCUAACACAUGUAAGUCGAACGAGACCUUCGGGUCUAGUGGCGCACGGGUGCGUAACGCGUGGGAACCUGCCCUUAGGUUCGGAAUAACUCCCCGAAAGGGGUGCUAAUACCGGAUAAUGUCUUCGGACCAAAGAUUUAUCGCCUUUGGAUGGGCCCGCGUUGGAUUAGCUAGUUGGUAGGGUAAAAGCCUACCAAGGCGACGAUCCAUAGCUGGUCUGAGAGGAUGAUCAGCCACACUGGGACUGAGACACGGCCCAGACUCCUACGGGGGGCAGCAGUGGGGAAUAUUGGACAAUGGGCGAAAGCCUGAUCCAGCAAUGCCGCGUGAGUGAUGAAGGCCUUAGGGUUGUAAAGCUCUUUUACCCGGGAUGAUAAUGACAGUACCGGGAGAAUAAGCUCCGGCUAACUCCGUG
RNAcentral lists this ribosomal RNA (433 nucleotides) under uncultured bacterium. Its description in RNAcentral is "partial 16S ribosomal RNA". It matches the Rfam family "Bacterial small subunit ribosomal RNA", at positions 29 to 507 of the family's 1533-position model. The record is from RNAcentral.